AUGCAUCAUGACACUUUUAGAUAUGUUUUUACAAUAGAACAUAUACUGAUUUUUAUGUCAAGUAACCUCAAACAAAACAAAAGUGGAGCUUCAUUUACAAUAAUAAUAGAACAGAACAUAUGCUAGUUUCGAUCCAUACAAGGUUUUCUCAAAUGCUUAUUAAGGCAUAACACACAACUCCUGUUGUGCUAUAGGAAGAACACUUAAAGAGGGGAAAUUGGACAUUGAAUAGUUAAGUAGGUGUACUAAAAAGCACACAAAACAUGUACUGUAAAAGAACAAAACAUUCUUAGCGUUGCAUCGCCCUCCUGUGGCAGAGGUGAACAUUCUGAUAGUUGCAUCGUCGCACGGCCUCGUGUGACAGAGGUGAACGGCUUGUGGUGGUAAGGGUGAACGUCUUGAGUGCUGCAUGUCCAAAAAAAUUGGUUUUAUUUGACAACUCGAAAACAUAAAAAGGAAUCCUGUCAUCGUCGAACCGAACCCCGCAACACCUAUCGAGCUGCUGAAAUAUGUUAUAGUAUGGGUUAGAUACAGUUCCAAACUAGUACCUGAAACCAUUCCCAAAUAUGCAUGUCAAGCUUCAGAGUUGGAAGUAAUAAACGCCCAGAUAUGCAUGGGCUUAUAUGAGUAUAGAUGAGCUACGGAAUAAACGCUCAGAUAUGAAUCUGCUUCAAGUCAGGUUUGGUUUUUUUAAUUUGAUGCAUGCUUGCACUAUAGAACUGCUACUGGUUUGCAAGAUGGACUUGAGUACUCCCUCUGUAAAAAAAUAUAAGAACAUUUUAGAUCACUACUUUAGUGAUCUAAACGCAUAUUUUCUCUUGUUAAAUUUUCCAUAGUUUACUCCCAAAAUCAUCACCACAAAAGUAACACAUAUGCAUUCCAGUGUACCUUGGCGAUGCAUUGGCUUGUACUGAGGGUGUAGAUUAGAGUGGCUAGAAGAGGAUACAGCAGAGUGGCGUUGAACGACCUGGUGAUCCAGGGUGCUGCUGACAAUGAACGGUCUGGGGUGGUGGCGUGAAUGGCCUGGAGUGGUGGCUGUGAACGGCCAGGGUGCUUCGGCGGCAGAGCCCCACCGGGAGAUGGCGAUGCAAGCAGGAGGUUGGGAAGCAGUGGUGCCGGUGGUCGGGGUCGUCCAAUGCUCAUGGCACAACAGUACAGGAAGUUGAUUCAUCACCCAUCCACAAUUUUUUUCCUUUUUGGAAUCCAUUGAACUGAAAAAAAGCUACAAUGUGAGCUGAAAGUAUGAAAACAUCAUAAUGUUGACGUCCAGUGCGGGGCGGCUACUUGCUCAUGCACUAUUUUUUUUUGUUUCUGUUUUUCAAUGAACUUAUAGGGUUAUACAUUUUGAACUUAUAGAUAUUUUUGUUGAAAGUAUGAAAACAACAUAACGUUGACAUCCUCAGCCAAAGAACACAUCCAUUAAACAAACGCUCUAGUCACCGGACAUACAAUAGCACAUCCAGUUCAAGAUUGACUAUUGAUGCAUGCCUUAAUAAGCAAGAGCAGCAGUACAACAUUAGCAUAAUAGUAGGUAAAGUAAUAGUACGGAGUUAGCCAUCGAUGCAAGCUUUUGACAAAGAAACUCGAUAGGCACUGUGAUUUUGGAUGGGCAAUGGCGGCCACACAUCUCUAGUGGCCAGCGGCAUGCGUUUGUGAACAUGAGAGGCCUAUGAACUUUUCCGCUUUCUCAACUCUGAACUUUUUGUAUUCUUGCACUUGAUCCUCCCCAAUAUUAUUCUAAACUUUUUUAGUGGCUUUUGUUGGUGAGCCCUUCUAUUUCCCUAAACCUUCACAAGGUUUCUUCUCAGUAUAAAGAAAACAAGAAAUAAAAGUGUUCUGUUCACAUAGGCAUCAGAACAAACACCUAGUAACACUACAAAAAAAAGACACAUCCGUGACAUUUUGUGCCGAACAAAUUUUUUUCCUGUCAUACAUAUGACACUUCUAUGACGAUAAUUGUGACAAAUCCUGGUAUCAUCAUAGAUGUGGUGGGCUCCUACUUCUAUGACAAAAAAUCAUGACAGAAAAUGGGCUUUUCGUCUUGGGCGGGCCGGAGACGCAACUGCAUGACAUUCUUUUGGCCGUCCAUGACGGAAAAAACCGUGGUAGAAGCGAGGGGGAGGAAAAUUUCAGGGAGUUGCCAGUUACGGUGGGAGAGCGAUGCGCAUUUCUCUCGUACAGGUACGUGCGUGUGUGCGAGGCGUUGGCUCUAACUGAAGCCGAGCGAGGCGUUGGGCUCUAACUGAACCCGAGCGAUUGCACUGCAAGCUAUGUGUUACUGAACCCGAGCGAUCGAUCGAUGGCUAUUAACUGAACCCGAUGGAGCAAUUCCUUCGCUACUGCUGCGAACUGAAGCCGAUCGAUUGGAUGAACAGUGAGCGUUGCAGGGGGGUUUGGAUGAACAGUGAGUGGUGGCGUUGCCUUUGGAUGAACAGGAACCCGUGGUGUGGAGGGCUGGAUGAAUAGUAGAGAGUGGAGGGGUGGCCGUGGAGGGGUGGUUGAACAGGACCCCGUGGAGUGGAGGGCUGGAUGAACAGUAGACGGUGGAGGGGUGCCCGUGGAGGGGUGGUUGAACAGUAGCCGGUGGAGUAGCGCGCGGUGGAGGCUGGAUGAACAGGAGCCCGUGGAGGCUGGAGGAGGUCGAUGGUAGCCCGUGGAGGCUGGAGGAGGUUGACGGUGGAGAUGAACAGUAUCCCAUGGAGUCCCGUUUUGCGGUUCACCACACCCCUCCCGCUGAACAGGACCCCCGUUUCGACCGUAGCGCCCCAACACAAGUCCGUUUCGUCUGUUUUGCGGUAUGCCACACCCCUCCCGAUGAACAGGACCCCCGUUUCGACCAUAGCGCUCCAACACAAGUCCGUUUCGUCCGUUUUGCGGUACGCCACACCCCUCCUGAUCAACAGCACCCCCGUUUUGACCGUAGGAGGUUCGUUUUGUCCGUUUUGUGGUACGCCACACCCCUCCCGAUCAACAGGACCCCCGUUUUGACCGUAGGAGGUCCGUUUCCUCCGUUUUGCGGUACGCCAGACCCCUCCCGAUGAACAAGAUCCCAUUUCGAACGUGGCCGGUCAAACACAAGGCCGUCUCCUCCGUUGUGCGGUACGCCAGGCCUCGUUUCCAUCGCCUGUUCUGUCCAAGCCCUCCCGAUGAACACGACCACUCAUUCCAUUCCGACCCAGCUGGUUGGCUCCCACGCGUUCCGUUGCCUCCCGAUGAACAUGGCGCAUUCUGUUGCCUCCCCAUGAACACGACGACGACGUUGUUUCUCCGUUCUGACCCAGCCAUGUACGUAUGCGUGAGUAGGCGUUUGAGACCCUGCCCGUAUGUACGUACGUGGCCGUAUUUUCUUUCUUGCACCCUCGCCGUUGUACGUACGUGUACGUGCGCGCCUCUACUACGACCAGUAUGUACAUACACGUUCGCGACCAGAAUGACAACACUACAUAUGCUUCGACCAGGUGGGUCCCGACUGUUAGGCACUUCCUUACCUGUGAAGAUGUAGCUGGUGGGUCCCAGUAGUCAGGGGGCGAAUCGUUUUUUUUUGCCCGGACUCACUUCCUUGCAUGCGAAGAUGUAGCUGGUGGGUCCUAGUAGUCAGGGGGCGAAUCUUUUUUUUUUGCCCGGAUGCACUUCCUUGUGUGCGAAGAUGUAGCUGGUGGGUCCCAGCAAUCAGGGGAAACGUUUUUUUCGUGAAAUAUGGUGGCCUGUUCGGUGGGUCCCCGCUGUUAGGUGGAGGAAUAAUUAUUUUGCGCUUGAUAAGGAGGCACUUCCUUGCGGCUGUUGUGGACCCAGCUGUCAGCCUCUCCACGCAUAGUACUCUUCUAAUGGAAGUCGGUCGUUGACCACAUUGACCACGCCGCGUCGAGGGCACCACGGCGGUGGACGACGGUGAGGCCUAGGAAGGGGACGGCGCGGAGCCGGGGAAGACGCAGCAGUGGAUGCCCACGCGAAGAGGAGUACGAGGGUGAGGCUGUCGUCGCUAUAGAAUAACAGGGGGUGUGGGUGAGUAGAGCGAUGGCCUGGCCAGCGGUGGGAGUAGUAGGGGGCGGUGAGGCCUCCGCGGCAUCACAGCCGGCCACGGGAGGUAGGAGCAUGCGGCACGACCGGCGCUGCUUUGGGCGGCUGGAGCACGAAGACCAGAGGUUCAAGAAGCACUAUGGCCGUUGGAUGGACAUCGUACCAUCACUGGAGCUAGAGUCGUUCAUAUUGACUAAGUUGAUAAAGCCCUCCGUCCCCAUAAACUUAGUAGGCCCACAAGUCAGCCUCCCACUAAGGUGAGUCCCAGCUAGCAGGGCGAGUAUUCAUUUUUUUGUGCGUAGUAAGGAGGCAUGUCCGGUGGGUCCGAGCUGACAGUGGGGGGAACGUUUUUUCGCGGAAUACGGAGACCCUUCCGAUGGGUCCCAGAUAUCAGGUGGAGGAAUCAUUAUUUUGCGCGUAAUAAGGAGGCAUUUUCCUGUGUGGGCCCCUACUGUAAGCCUCUUCCGACGGUUGUUGUUUGUUGACCAUGUUGACCUCGCCGCGCCGAGAGCACAAACGCGGUGGACGAGGGCGGGGCCCAGGAAGAGAACCACCCGGAGCCGGCGAAGCCACUGCAGCAGAUGCCCACGCUGAGGGGAGAACGAGUGCUGACUGGUCGGCUGCGGGGUGAGGCUGACGUCGCCGGAAAAUAACAGGAUGUGUGGGUGGUUAGAGGGAUGGCCUGGCGGCAGCACUGCCAGCCAUGGGAGGAGGGAGCAGGUAGUCCCGCCGGCGCUGGUUUGGGCGGCUGGAGUAGGAAGAUCAGAGACUGAAGAAGCACGGCGGCCGUUGGAUGGACAUCCAACAGUCACUGUUGUGUGUUGACUAAGUUGACAAAGCCUUGCGUACGCGUCAAAAAAAAUUAGGACAGCGUCAUUGUCAACCUAGUAGGCCUAGAAGUCAGCCUCCAAAUCUGUGGAAAACAGCAUACAGCCCAUUAGCCAUUAUUUUCAAUAAUUUACAGCCCAUUUGCUAAUUCUUAAGGAUAUUUGAAGCUCAUAUUCUUUUUAUUAGCAUUACAGACCAUAUAUUCUGGGCAGUGCUAAAAAAUUCAACGAAAUUUUGCAUAUUUCGGUGGGGUCCGAACUCUUUUAAUCACGAAAUUUCGAGUCACGUUAAAAAUAGUUUUCAAAAAAUUAUAUCCAAAUAAAAUUCAAAAAACAAUUCUCCGCAAAAAGAAUGAAUGAAAUUUAGAAUCUUAGCUAGCAAGAUGCUGGUUCGUUGCACGGAACAUGAAGAUGCAUUUGUAUGAGUAGUUUAUCUUGUGGGGUGGAAAGAUGAUAUUUUAAUGUAAUUGCCAGUUGGCUUUGGUUUUUAUAAGAGUAGAGAGUAGAGAAAUCCUGGAAAAAAAUGAUAUUUUAAUGCAAUUGCCGGUUGGCUUUGGUUUAAAAAUUUACAGCCCAUUUCUUACAACGUAUAGCCCGUUUUCUGGGGAAGCCCAUUUCUUAUCCCUACUCGUCUUGAAAGAUUUGCAGCCCAGCAGGGCUGAGAAAAGCAAGUAGGCCUCGGUUUUGGUCUCCAAAAAAAAGAACUGGGCUAGCCAAUUUCAAAAAGAAAAAAAAUAUCAACUGGGCUAGUCAUGUGCUUAAUAAAAGCGUAAGCAUGGGCUAGACGUGCCACUGCCCCCGCAUAGCGCGCAGUUGAGCUCCCAUCUCUGAAACUGAAAAACAACUGGGCGAGCUGCUGGGUCCCUGGUGUUAUCCACUCGUUGUGUAAUUUUCUCGUUUAUUGACUACAUUGACAAUGGCGUGGAACCUAGUUGUCAAACAAUUAGGAGGAAGUAUUGUUUUGGCUUGUAAUAACGCGGCAUCUGCUUGCGAAAUGCAAUGACCUUGGUGGGUCCCUACUGUCAGCCUCUCCACGUACAGUCAUCUCCUGAUUCCUCUUGGUUGUUGACCAUGUUGACAACACCAGACGGUGGCGAGCACAGCGAGCUAACCAAGGCGGAGAAUGACGGCAAGGCCUCGGACGGGAACGAAUAGCAGCCAUAAAAGAUGCGGCAGUGUAGUGGCAGGUCUAGGGGAGUACGAGGGCAACAACAUGCAAGUCAACCAUACAAAUGGUACAAAAAGCCCAAGGAUUAAUUGUUCAUCAAAUUUUUAGACAAAACCCAGAUUGAACAUGACAGUAACAUCUAACCCAACCACUCUUUUUUGCAGUCACAAACAAAUGGAUCGGUCUGAUCCAUAAAAUCAACAUCCUGUGCAAAAAAAAUUAUUUUAGGAUGUCUACAACUUGUUGUAAAUAGAAGCCGAGCACGUUUAGAAGCCCAUUUGUCCACCUAAAACUUCUUUUUUUGCUGUUCAACAUGUUCAUCCGUGAGAAAUCUCUUGCUGUAAAAAUUAAGCCUCAUGGACAAUAGUAACCUCGCAUUCAACAGGAAGAAUGUGACAAAGCUUCUGUUUGCCUGGUUGGAUGCAUAUCGUCCCAUCGUUAUUGUCCUCAAACGAAUGUCAUGAGAACUGAGAAAAUCCUUGUGCUUAUUACACCAACGAUUGGUUAUAUGUUUUUUUCCAUGUGGUUCUGCCUAAGUAGACAUGAAGAUUGAAAACAGUUAAGGUCUGAAAAAAGAGUAUGUCGAAAGAACGACAACUGAACAGUUAAUUCUAAUACAAUAUAUACGGGCUUUCAAUGUGCAUGAAAUCAUCACCUCUAUGUAUAAAUUCCCCAGAGAUCGAAAGCAUCGCCGCAAGCCAAUAAUUAUGUCCAAAUCAAAACUAUACAUUCUGAUAUAUAUGAUCUUGACAGAAUCUAGCAGCAUUGAUAGGCUAUCAAUGGACGAACUCUUCAUUGAGCAUAUAACAUAAUAUUAGUACCCAAAGUGUACCCCGGGAUGAUAUGAAACUUAUGCGCAUAAAUGAAAAAUGCAGCAUAUGAUUGAAAAUGUGUAGAUGAUAAUAUAUGGUACCUGAAAAGGUGAGGAGCCAAACACCAACUCCUUGUGAUUAUUAAACGGGUCACGAAUUACACCCAAGGUCUCCAGUUUGGGCGCAAAGACGACAGUUAUUUCUGAAGGUGUAUAACAAUUAUGAAGGAGCAACCUUUCAAGUGAAGGGGCAUCUUCGAUGAUGAGUUGUUGUCCUUCAAAACAAAUUCCAAUGCUUUUAAGGUGAGGCGACUUUAUUUGGAGACAACUGAUACCGAUUUCAAUUCCCAAAACAAUCAGCAAGCGCUUCAGGCAGGGCAACUAGAGUGGAGGAUGUUGUGCAGUGAGGCCUCCGACAGAUAAACCACCACAAGCGAGAGUUUUUUUAGCAGUGGGAGUCGAAGCAUUUGUACCAGAUCAUAUGGUAGAUGGCACCGGGCGAAGGUGGCGGUGUGGAGAGAGGAGGAAAACCGUGAGAUGGACAACGGUGGUGUGGACACAAAUUCUUGGUAUGUUCGUGGUAUGAAACUUUCGUAGUAAUGGUAGAACUCAAACUGCUGGAGCUUUCCGAAUUCAGGGGAUGUCAGCCAAGCGUCCACCUUGCCGGGUAUGGAUAGCAGGUAGCUUGUGGGGAUGCAGAGGCAUUGAACGGGGCCCUGCUGGUGAGAAGAGAUGAUGGCUCUGAUGAGAUCAAAUUCACGAAGGAUAGAUAUCUGACGACAGUCAAGAUUGAGGGGCGCGGAGCGCCAUAGAGGGCGCCACCGAGUUGAGAGGACUUGUGUGCGGCAGCAAUCCUUGGUGGGGAGAAGCGAGAUGAUCUCCUCAAGGAUGACGUCCGGGAGAUUGCUGAUGCGGUCCACCAGAGAUUCUACCGGUUCCUCAGAUCCGGGUGGGGGGGCUCGCCGCUUCUCCCUGCGCUACCGGGUGUGGGAUCUACAACCGGCGUCACCACUAGUGGGAGCCUCAUCUUCUUGGCGCUGGGGCUAGCCGACUCCAUUUUCCUUGUGGGUGUCGCACCGAGCUCACGGGUUUGAGCAGAGUAGCCAGAGACGAGCCUAGUGGCAGUGCGAGUGGGGAAGAAGGAGGGCUGGGGAUUUCUGUAGGAGUGGAAGAAGAGGAGCAGGCGUAUUCUGUAUGAGUGAGGAAGAAGGUGAGCGGGUUUUUCUGGACGAGUGAGGAAGAUUGGGGAGCGGGGGGAAUUGGGUGGGGAGACGGAAGCGGCAGAGCGAGCUGUUCGUGUUUAUAAGGCACGCUGCACUAACUACUCGCUUUUUCCCAAGAACCGCUCUCUUCUUUUGCGUUGCUACAUGACUGGCCAUGCAUGCAGGAUGCAUGUGCCCGCCGGCCACUGCAUGCGCCUAGUUUGUUACGAGGCCUAUUUAAUAGGGUGGUUAUGGAGUAAAUUAAGGAGAUUUAUUUUCUCUGUGUGCAUCCACCAAAUUAGAGGAUGCGGUACUGGAUGCAGACACUCACAUUAAACUAACAUUCAGAAGAACAAAAGUUCAGCAUGUCUAUGCAUCUCAAUAAUUCACCAUACUAUAACCAAUAUACAAAACUGUGAGAAGGUGUGGAAAUAAAGAAAAUCAGUCGAUGCUUCUCUGAGCAAAGGGCCUCCCUACGCACGCAUUAAUUUCCUGGGCAUGCUUGUUUCUUCUCAAUGUUGCGAGCACUUUGAGCAUGUUGGCAACUCCACAGCUAUCUAGCUGCCUCAUCUUGCAAUUGAUGCUGACACAUUUGCAGCAAACACAUGAGGCAAUAGAGAUGACUCAACAUGGGUCCAUAUUGUGCAGUUCCCCUAAUAUCCUAUUCCUUGUCCUGAAUCUGAAAAGAUAGGAAAAUAGUAGCUAUACUUAAACGGUGUUGCAAAACAGUAGCACAUAUCAAUAGCUCGGCAUGACAAAACACGAUCAUCUGGAUGAAGGGGACACUGACCUGCCUGAGGAAGAUUACAUAUAAUUUCAUAAGUCCUUGGUUGAUUUCCACCUUCGGCUGCACUGCUUGUUUGCUCCUCUAGACAUGACAGGAUCGUUCCGCACUGCAUCAGCAAGUCAACGUACGAAUAAGCUAAUUUCAUCUUGCGGUGGUCAUUGUACCUAGUUAUGAAUGUAGGAAUACCUGGAGCACCAUGAGGUUAGCUGACAGCAGGUAGAUGCAGCCAUAUAAAUUUUGUGCGGUGCUACCAAAAUUGAGGUUUGUAUCCCUUCCCGUUAUGAGAAUUCUUCUUGAAGUUGGUAGAAUGUGACGGCUUGUUCUUUGCAUCAAACGUGCCUUUCCCCUGAGAUUUGUUCUUGUUGUUUUGGGGCUGGUUGGGCUAGAAGUUCUUCUCAUGUACCAUGUGGGCACUAGAAGCUCCCUCGGCGACCCGAGCACGUGUGUCUUUUGCUCUCGCCUUCUCCUCAAAAUCAAGAGUGCUAAUGAGAUCCAAAAUAGAAAACUCAUGUCUCUUGUUUUUCAGAGAAGUAGCAAAAUUGUUCCACGAAGGUGGAAGCUUGGCAAUGAUGGUCCCAUAAAGAAAUUUGUCUGGCAACACACACUUAAAGUACUCAAGUUCCUUAGAGAGUGACUGUAUCUCAUGAGUCUGCUGAACAACAAAGCGCUCAUCAGUCAUCUUGUAGUCACAGAAUUGCUCCAUGACGUACAACUCGUUGCUAGCGCCCGAGGGCCCAAACGUGGCUUCGAGCGCAGCCCACAUGUCUUUGCCGCUGUCAAACAACAUAUACGAACCCACAAUGGAAUCGUCAAGAAAACUCAGCAGGGCGGCUUUGAAGAGGGUAUCCAUGUUCUGAAAAGCUUCCUGUGGUGUAGGAUUAAGAUCGCCCUCAGGCUUACCAUUAGUGGCGUCAUAGCAGCACAUGAUCUGAAACCAAUAUACUCCUCUUGUGCGCCACCUUUUAUAUUGCACCCCCUUAAAAGUAGGCGGCUUCAAAAGUGCAGCAAAACAACUCGGAGUAAAUUGUCUGUGAUCAGGUUUUUGGAUUGGAUUGUUGAAUAUAUGAGCAAUUUAGUAUGAGAUUUAAUCCAAAUCAGCAGUAAAUAGAUCAUGACGACAAUUGCAAACAUCAAAGUAAUGAUGCAGACUAAACCAGGAGGACAGAAUCACAUACUGUAUAGCGGGAGAAAAACCGAUGUGGUUGAUGUUGUCACUCAUGUCGUUGAUGAAGAGGUUACCGAGGUCGGGGAAGAAGGCUGUCGUUGAGGUAGUCGUCGCUGGCAGCAGUCAAAGGAGUGUGCUCCCCAAAAACCAGAUUGCCCCUCUCCCGUACAGGAUCACGAAAGGCGGGGUUCGGAGGACUGCUAUCCCUUCUCACGGUGCACGCCGGAAGGAGGGCUGGAGAAGAAUUGCGUGGCGGCGCUAAGAUCUGGAACAGUGCGAAACCAUAUGAUAUAGCGGCGGCUAGGGUAGAGCAUGUCAGGUCGCAGUAUAAUAGUAGGCCUUUGGCCCCCAAACCCCACGUCCAUGUCAAUAAUAGCUCAAAAAAAGUCAAUAAUAGCCCCACCAAGGUUUGUCUAAAAAAAUGGAGUAAUUAAGGCGUCCGUUAGUCCCUUUAGUAUAAAUACAAUAUCAUUAAUAAUGGCCCCACCUUUUGUCUCACAAAGUAGAGUAUGUUGGAGUACAACCGGCUACACGUUUACAAUCCGCUUCUCUUCUCUCUCCUCUUCUCUCUCCUUCAAUUAAGAACAAAUACUAUAUUUAAAUCCUUAUAGCCUGCUUAUGUCAUCUAAUUAUAGUAGUACUUGCUCUAAAAGUUACUACCACUGUGUAGUCGAAAAUGCCGGCGUGCAGCGGGCGGUGCCCUCGGUCGGCACGCCGCUUCAACGGUGGAAGCAGUGAGAGGUCGCGUCGCCCUGACUUGCCAUCAAUGUGGAGCGGCCAGCUCAGCUGGCGCCGAGCAGGAAGCACGCGCGAGAGGGGGAGGGGUUUUUGUUGGGCCAAGAAGGUGAGAAGCCAACUUGGGAUCGGUCCGGACGGGGAAAUAUCAUGUGCUCCCAUACUAUGCCAUAUGACACUAGUGUAUGUUACUACUCCCUCCUUUCCGGUUUAUAGAGAUGUUUAGAGUAACAUAGUAAUAUGUUACAGUACAAGUUACUCCCCACUAUGACCAGCCUUGGCCUCCCCCAGUGCUCCACCAUGUAUAGCUACUAAACCUGCCACGUAGGCAUAAAAUAUGAUGUGGCACCAAUAAACUAAGCACAUAUGCAUUGAAACCUUGAGUUACUAAGCCAUUUAAUGCACUUAGCACCUCAUCUAAAGAGCAUUAGUAGUAUAGCCAGUUGCUGGCUAUAAGCCUAUAGCCCAUCUUAUAGUCAACAUGUACUACAAAGUGCCUAGGAGCAUGUGCUAGAGCUGGCUCUUCACGAAGAGCCCGCUUACCUUCUCUCUCCUCUUCUCUUUCCUCCAACUAAGCAGAAAUAUACUACUAUUUAUUCCUUAUAGCCCGCUGACUCAGCUCUAUUGUACUUGCUCUAACCACAUCUAAGCACUUGCUAGCACCCCCUUGACCGUGGACCUUGACGGUGUACGUCACCUUGUGUCUCAUAAUUUUCCUCGUCAUCAUCUGAGUCCUAGAAGAUCUCACCCACAUCAUCAUUAGCAUGCAGCCGCGUUGAUAGACAACAUGCGCAGAAGGAGUAGAGGCGACUGGGGACGCACCACCACCACGUCAUGGGCACUCCGUAUGUGCUCGUGUGCGUGCAGCGUGCGUGUUUUUCCAUCGGUGCUAGCUCUAAGGCCGAGGCUGCGGUCGUCUUCGUCUCCGACUAGUAGUUGAGCAGUGACGGCAAAGAGGUGCUGCAAGAGAUGCGUAUGCGCCGUUGCGUGCGAGCUUCUCCAUAGCAUGACGAACCGGACGUCGCCGCGGAUGGCGCACGCCUCCAUGCAUCCGAGUGUGUGCGCAUGCAUGUGUUAUUCACGUGCAUUCUGCGGCCGAGCGUGUGUGCAUGCACGUCUUGUGUACGUGCGGUGUGUGCUCCAUGAUGUGCGCGUAUGUGCAUGAGUUGGAUCGGAUGGAGUUAGUGCGUUCGCUUGUGUACAUAUUUUAGAGUGUAGAUUCACUCAUUUUGUUUCGUAUGUAGUCCCUUAUUGAAAUAUCUAAAACGACUUAUAUUUGGGAACAGAGGGAGUAUAAAACAUCUUCAACUUAGCAUCCUGAUGUACCGUUUCUAGUGGUUAGCGAAAAGUUCAUGUUCUUUUAGUUGUUUAUAGGUGGGCAUGCGGCAAAAAACAGGGGAAAACGCACAAGGUUCCUUGCAGACGCUCCACCGCGAGGUUCCUUGCUCCUCCUCGGUCGUCGGGAAUCUAUGCUCUUCAACUCUUUUCUUUUACGUGUGCUUUGUUCAUCCUUUUCCCAACACGCGAGACAUCUAGCAUCAAGGUGCACGUGUCAUGCAAGAAAAUGGAGAUAAUUAGAUAAGAAGUGCGUAAGUGAGUNNNNNNNNNNNNNNNNNNNNNNNNNNNNNNNNNNNNNNNNNNNNNNNNNNNNNNNNNNNNNNNNNNNNNNNNNNNNNNNNNNNNNNNNNNNNNNNNNNNNNNNNNNNNNNNNNNNNNNNNNNNNNNNNNNNNNNNNNNNNNNNNNNNNNNNNNNNNNNNNNNNNNNNNNNNNNNNNNNNNNNNNNNNNNNNNNNNNNNNNNNNNNNNNNNNNNNNNNNNNNNNNNNNNNNNNNNNNNNNNNNNNNNNNNNNNNNNNNNNNNNNNNNNNNNNNNNNNNNNNNNNNNNNNNNNNNNNNNNNNNNNNNNNNNNNNNNNNNNNNNNNNNNNNNNNNNNNNNNNNNNNNNNNNNNNNNNNNNNNNNNNNNNNNNNNNNNNNNNNNNNNNNNNNNNNNNNNNNNNNCACUUCGAUGGCACCUACACAAUAUUUUUUCUCCUCGAUGGCACAUGAAUGGCAUGUGAAUAGUGCACGUACUCAACAACGGAGCACGGGAUGGUAGCAAUGACAUGGUCAGCCCUUUUUUGGAGAGAGUACGUGCUACUAGUAAAUAACUUUGAUGUGUCCCGUCAACUCGCAGAACGACGAGAAGCUUGAUUACGCCUUCUCCCUCGCCAACGCGUGCGUGGUGGCUCGCAGCACGAGGAGAAACUUUUGCUUACAAGCGGUGGACGUGCAGCAGUUCAUUUGAUGUCAGAUUGCCAGAAGCACUACUAUAGAACCAUCGACUUCCGGAAGAGGCGAAGAGCCAAGCGCAAGGUCACCUACUAACCUUAGGCUAGGCGUAGUGGGAGUAACAUAAGUAGAGGUACCUCCUUUUUUAUUCUAGAAACAACCACACGCGAAUAUCAAGGUGCUGGUUACGUAGAACAAAUUUCCUGCAGUCUGUGCUCAGCACUCCUCUAUCUCUCUUCUCAGCCAGCCAGCGGACGCGCGGAGCCCAUCGUCUGUUUGCUCACAUGUGGCCCCACAUGUCAGUGAAAACGCAAGAGGACCCACUGAACCUGCACAUCUUUCACCUCGAUGUGCUGGUGAUGAAAAACAAAUCCAAGAAAGAUCUUCGGUGGCCCCUUUUGGAGUUACUCAAGAGUAGUAAGAUUCUAUUUAUAGUUUAACUCAAGAUGCACAUCUCGUGGCUUCAACUUAUCAACUACCACUCUAUUUUCUUUCAUGACACGACCUGGAUGCUGGAUGUCCCACGUGUCGGCAAAAGGAGGAAGAACCCAACCAAAUCUUCGAUUGUGCUCUCGGAUUAGACUAGCUGUGCUAACUUAAAAAAAUCAUUGUGUACUCCCUCCGUUCCAAAAUACUUGACUUCCAUUUGUCCAAAAAUGGAUGUGCCUAUAUACUAAAACAUGUCUAGAUACAUAUAUAUUUUGACAAAUACUAUCUCUGUCCGGGUUUAUUGAUCCCCAUUAUAUUUUGUGCCAAAUUUUGACCAUAGAUUAAACUAACAAAAUGUUUACGCAUGUCACCAAACAUUAUAUUUUUGAAAACUAUGUUCAAAUACGAAUCCAAUGAGAUAAUUUUUCUUGACAUGCAUUAACAUGUUGUUAGUUAAAUCUUUAGUAAAAAUUUGACACAAACUACAAAGGGGACCUAUAAACCAGGACGGAGGUAGUAGAAUGGAGGGAGUAGAAUGGAUGCAAGUUUUUGUAUUGGGAAGAAGAGUACAUCCAUAUAUUGAUAGAGCGUUGGAGUUGGCCUUACAAGUGGGACCGUAGUUGAGGAAAGCGACUAUCGGCAAACUCCCACCUCGCCCGCGGCGCGAUGGCUGAGUUAGAGAAACGAUGAGGUUGAAGAGAUUACUCUAGCACAGACUCCAAGAAAUAUGGUGUCAGAUGGAAGUCGUGCUGGUGGCGUGUGUCGUACUCCUAGACAUGAAUGCUUGUUCUGGCCCAUGCCACCCUACUACUCCUACUACUUACUAUAUAUACUACUAGUAUCGAGGAUUCGAGGUGCUGGUUACGUAGUAUAAUAUGGCUAUAGUAAAAACACCCGCAUGAUGCGCAAAGCAUGUGAAGCUAGUACAAAUAGUGUACUACUAUUGUUGAUGAUUGGCCUCAUCCGAUAACCUAUUGCAAUGCACAUACAAUUAUGUAUUCGGAAAAUAUAUUUUUUCCUCGUCGCACCACUCACUCACAGAAGCAACUCGAAAGCCAUUCAUAAAUUUAGUAAGUUUAUCACAGGCAUAUCAUUUAUUACAUACAAUAGGUCAUCAACCCACAUCGACAACGAGGAUACAUUAUAAAUACUAAAGUUUUCACCACACAACAAAUAACAAGAAAUGAAAUGAACUUCAACUCAACCAUUCCUCGGCGUUGGAAAUGCUUGCUUUGAACCACAAGUGAUUCUCUGGGACGGGGUAUCUAUUGUCGAUCUCGAGACCAAUGCAGGACUGAUUAUCCAGGCUGAAGCGGCCUACUAUAUCAGUACCAGGGUAUGGAACCACGCUAAUGUCCGAGGUAUAGACACAUUUGCUUCUCACAAAUGGUGCUAGUAACAUUGUGUCAACAGCAGUUGGAUCGCCUUUCACCAUCAUCGGAUAGUUUUGUCCAAGGAAGAGCAAGUUUUCUCCAAGACUAUCAAUUCUGUACCAGGGAGAAGGUGUUGGUGCUAGCACGCUAGUAUCCAUCCCGAAUACCAUGCAACGGGUGUCGGAAUAGGUCCGGAGAGUGCGACCAUGGGAGACUACACCUGCUUCCUUAGCAGUAACAUCAUCAGUGGGCUGUAUACACACGAGAAGAGGUGAUCCAUGGGAAUUAGUUGCCAGGCGCCAACAAGUAUAUGGGCGCCGCUCGUCCUCAUGCUCGUGAUCAUCACCAUCGUCAUGUCCCCCUUGGUUAUAAAAAAUUUCAAGUAUAGGUGGUGGAAUUUUCACAGGACCUUGGAAACACAGGAAGAAGGUUAAUUAGUAAAGGGAAACUUGCUAACCCGCAUGCAUGUGGAUGAAACAAUUAUAAUUACGGUGGAAGACAAACGUACCGAAAUCAUAACGAUUCCAUGCAAAAAUGGUGCCACGAGUGGUGGCAGCAAACACAAGGCCCUCGUAUUCAAUUGCAUCACAAUACUCAUCCGUGUACAGAAACUGAUUUUUGAGCAAUGUCCAUCGAGUCAAACCAGCAACGACGGCAACAAGCUUGUCGAAGAUAGCAACAACUUCAUAGUUGUUGUAAUUCCAAGAGCGGGUGGGAACUCGAGAAAUUGCUAUCUUUCGUAGAAGACAGUCACCAUGAUUGUAUUUGAACGUGCGUACAAUACCGGUGUGCUCAACCUCUGGGCAGUCUGCUGAGAUUUUUGGAAGUGGAACCCGGUCACGAGUGUACACAUUCACAAGUUCCCACUCGCAGUUGCACCCAAUGUAAACAACCCAAUCUCCAUUUGCGCCUGCCUAGGCCUUGCCCUCAAGCGAUGGCAUCUUAACAUCAUACAUAUCAUUAUCAAGUGGCAUAAACUUGCACAGGGCGAGGCCUCCGUCGUGACGGCGCCGGUCAUCAGGGUCACGGCGAAGAAGAUAGGGGAGAUCAAACCGUUCCUUGACUCUUGGGUUCCUUGUAAUGAUGUUAUCAGUUGAGUCAAGAAUGGGCUUGAACAAACCUGCCAUGCUAGCCGAGGUGAUGACGUCGCACCGAUCAAUGAGUUCCUCCACCACAUCAUCUUUCAGAUCAGGGCAAGAAUAACGGGGUUGUUUCCGUCCUUUUCCCUCCAUGGAGAAGAUGAUUGAACAAUGGCAGAAGAAAGCAUGAAGGGCUGAAGGAAAAUGGAGGAGGGAGAGGAAGAGCGUGCGAUAGCAGUUCCAAAUCGAGAGGGAAAGGCGAAGCGUCGGUGGACGGUUGCCAGUUUGCCAUGGUUCAUGAAGGGGCGCCCUAGCCUACAUGUCGGUUCAGAAAUACUCCUACUACUCGUCGUCGUCUCACUGAUAUGUUGGAACGGGACCACAUGUCAACGAAACAUGGUGUGUAAUUUCUCGUGCAAAAUGCGAUCUGGCCACGUUGGCCCGAGGUGCCGCAUUAGUUUUUGUUUUUGAAAGUUUGCCGCAUUAGUUAUCGACCUUUAUUUUUUUUAACAUGCAAUCUGAAUGGAUAGCUCCUGUGGUCAUCACACGUGAGCGGAUAUAGUGAUGGUUGAUUCGCCCGAGCAACUUUACUGUGGGAAUAUGGGAGUACCAGCGGAUUCAAGGAACAGAGAAAUGAUGGUUGCUUCGUCCGAGCAACUUACUGUGGCGAAGGUGGGGCUCUGUGAUUUGACUGCUCACUAGUCAUUACUACUGCAUCGCAAUGACCGGGGUGAAUCUUUCCCUGAAGUUGUGUUGUGCACUCAAUAUUGCUGCAUGGCAGGUGGAGCCGGAUGAAGGAUGUCCAACAUGUCGGCGAAACAAAGUUGAAUUGUUUCUGGCAUUGCUAUCAAUCCUUGAGGAUUUGUUUAUAUGUAUGCAUAAUUUUGAUGAACUUGUACUGUGAUGCUAUGAAGGUUUCAACUCUGGUUCCCGCAGGAAAAAAUGGUUUCAACUUAGGAUUCAUGUGUCUUGCCUCGAGAUUAUCUCGUUACAACAUUCCAUCAAAUACAAAUGAAACUACCAUGGCUAAUGCAUCUCAAUGGUUCGCAGAUCAGCGCCAAUAUUCACAUCACAACUGAAAACAAAGUUGUGAGAAGGUGUACAAAUAAAGAAAAAAAAUUGAUCAAUGAUGUUCAUAGGCAUGGCUCCAUUUCCUUGGCACAGUGUUCAAUGCUUGGCAGCUAGUUUCACCCAGAUCUGUAGCCAAAAAAGAGGUGUAUGAAGGACACCACAAUCCGAUCAUUUUGUGCAGCUCCACUAAAAUCAGGCGGACCAUUCCUGUUUGCAAAGAUAUACAGUCAGUGUGAUUACAAUAAUAGUGGAACUAGAUGAUGAAACAUAACACACAUAAAUAGAAGCCGAUCACCUCUACGAUCUCUCUUUAGGACUAACUUCUUGUCAGAGAAGAUUAGGCACGGAGUUGGAUGAGGAGGAUAGCAAAACCAAUCUCCCUUUCCGCAGUCCCACAGAAAUGUAAAAACGUUGCCCGUGUGACAUUUUGGCGGAACUGCACAAAACACUCUUCAGAAAAGUGAUUUGUGCAGUUCACCAAAAGGUCGCAAUAGCAACAAGGUGAAAAUGGAUAGCCCUGUUUGCAAAAGGAGGUUGAAAGGAAACAAUUACUGCCCAAUAACACAAGUUGAAGACACAUACGCCGACAAAAAAGAAGCAUGUUCCAUGUAAAAAGGGAAAGAUAGCACAUGGUGGUUUAUCAAAAAUGGUUUGAGGACGAGAUUGCAAGAUGGAAAGUACACCGGCUGAGAUACGAUUUAAGCAAACAACUAAAGAAGAUCCACAAGCAGCAACGUGGGAAGAUGGGCAGUGGAGCAAGGCCGGAGGAAGCUGUACCUGAGGGUCGUCGGGAUGUUACUAGGAGGGCGCCGGCGGCCGGGAUCUGCCCAUACUGCGGCAGCGAGCAAGUGGCGAAGGCCCUACCGCGCCGGAGCUUGGUCAGAGAGAACAGCAGGUACUGCAGAUCGGGACGAGCUAACUCAACACCGUCGAACGGAGAGACGAUGCACAUCCUUCCUUUUCGUCGGCGGACAGGAUGCGGCCGGAUCACUGACCAACGCUGAGAGAGAGAGGCCACGGCGGCCUUGUGUGAGAUUGUGUGACGAGAUUCACGAGAGACAAACCCAUUUUUCCAUUUCCCCCACGGCAAUCAUUUUAUAUUCUAGGCGUGGUACCCGACCCUCAUUCGAGUAAACAAACGCUACACACGUCAAAUUAUCACGUGGGCUGCCUUUUCGUACAGAAACGAACUCCACAGUGUACCCGCGCGGGUGUGGCCGGGAACGAGACGUGAGUACGUGUGUCCUGUGUGCACUUCUUCUUUAGGUGCAGGUACGUACGUGGGUGGGUGUGAGAGAGAUGGUUUGUGCGAAACAGAGGCAAUUUGUUGAUGAUAUCUCAAUCAGAAAAACGUAACAUAUGCAAUGUGUGUGAAACGAAGUCAUGGACGUGAGAUAUCGAUAGAAUUUAAAACAGGGAUGAAGUGUGUGGCUGCGCGAUCGAUAAAGAGUGCCAUCGAAUUUGUGUUUGCCCACGUCAAAGAUACAGGGCGGCUGGCCUACUGGAAUUUGAGAGGGCAGAUGUGCAGUUCUUCUCUGUGGCAUGGAUACCUACCUAGAACGUUCGACUAUCGGUGUGUGUGUGUGGGGGGGUAGAGACUGGUCGACUAGUAUAUGUCCGGGGAAGGAGAGAGACCUAGCUAUGUACUGAGGGAGAUCGAUCAACAUCCAUGGAUAUGUGUAGCAGAGGAAUAAGGUUGGGAAAAAGACAAAGGUAGAGCGUCGGAGGGUUGGUGGUGGAGUGGCGUCUCACAAAUGGUGGGAGAGGCCUGCUAGACAAACGGAGGGUAUGAGUGCAAUAUCAAUAAGAGAGGGCGGGGGAUGUCUGUCUGUCUAUGCACGUGUGUGUGAGAGACGGGUCGGGAGGUAUUCAAGGAUGAUGAGGGGAGAAGAUAUGGUUGUGGUAAGCAUGCGUAACUACGUAGGAAGAUCAACCGUCGUGUGUCCGAGAAAAGGAGAGACAUAACUAGCGAGGUAAGUGUAAUGCCCCGGAUCCGAUGCGCCAGGUGUCCGCCAGUUAUUCGCCAUCCUUGCCAUGUCAUGUGCUUGCGUGUUGCAUAUUGCCAUGUCAUCAUGUGCAUUUCUUUUUGCAUACGUGUUCGUCUCAUGCACCCGAGCAUUUUCCCCGUUGUCCGUUUUGCAAUCCGGCACUCCUAUGUCCCCCGGCGUCCCCCUUUUGCCUCUUUUCAUGUGCGGGUGUUAAACAUUCUCGGAAUCGAUCGAGGUUUGCCUAGCGGCCUUGGUACACCACCGGUAGACCGCCUGUCAAGUUUCAUUCCAUUUGGAGGUCGUUUGAUAAUCCAACGAUCAACCGCGUAGCCCGAAGGGCCUCGUGUGUGUUGCAGCCCAACACCCCUCCAAAGUGGCCCAAACCCCUCCUAACCCCCUCCAUGCUCUCCGUCGUUCGAUCACGAUCGUGUGAGCGAAAAUUGUGCCUCAUUUGGACAAUCCUAGCUCCCUCUAUCUAUAAAUAUGCCUCUCCCCCCGAAAAUCCCGGUUCAAACCCUAGCAGUCUUCCUCCUCGCGCCACCGGACAUGUCCAUCCACGCCGGACAUGUCCGCCGGACACCUCGCUCCGGCCAAUCCAGCGCUGCCACGUCUCCCCGCCGCCGCUCCUGGCCAGUGGCGUCGCGCCACGUCGCCCUCAGCCCGUGCCUCCCUCUCUCUCUUCCGCACCCGCCACCGCCGGCCCGCCAGGCCCGCGCGGGGCCCUCCCGGCCCGCGUUCCCCGCCGCCCGCGCACGAGGCCCCCGNNNNNNNNNNNNNNNNNNNNNNNNNNNNNNNNNNNNNNNNNNNNNNNNNNNNNNNNNNNNNNNNNNNNNNNNNNNNNNNNNNNNNNNNNNNNNNNNNNNNNNNNNNNNNNNNNNNNNNNNNNNNNNNNNNNNNNNNNNNNNNNNNNNNNNNNNNNNNNNNNNNNNNNNNNNNNNNNNNNNNNNNNNNNNNNNNNNNNNNNNNNNNNNNNNNNNNNNNNNNNNNNNNNNNNNNNNNNNNNNNNNNNNNNNNNNNNNNNNNNNNNNNNNNNNNNNNNNNNNNNNNNNNNNNNNNNNNNNNNNNNNNNNNNNNNNNNNNNNNNNNNNNNNNNNNNNNNNNNNNNNNNNNNNNNNNNNNNNCGGCCGGCGACUUUGCCGCUCCGCCUCCGCAGCUCCCCGCCGGCGCCGUCCUCGCCGCGGCCCCGCGCGCCGGCCGGAGUUCGCCACCCCUCAUCCCCGCGCCUCCUCUCCUUCGCCCCUGGCCAGAUCCGGCCACGGGAGGGCCGGAUCCAGCCGUCCCCUCCUCCGGCGAGCUUCCCCGACCUCGCCGGCCGCCUCUCCUCCAACUCCGGUGAAGUUCCGGCCAGAUCCGCCGCCGCAUCGAUAUCCGUGCAGAUCGAAGGUUGACCCCAAUAUUUCACUGUCCCGAAAUUGUUGCAUAUUUUGGUGCCUUAUUCAUCAUGCCAUAUCUCUGCAUCCAUAGCUCCAUUUCAUGCAUAUGAUAUAUCAAAAUGUUCGUCAUGAGAUACUCUACAUUUCAUUCCAUUGUGCCAUGUUUGUUUGAGUCCAUCUUGAUGCCAUUAUCAUCAUUGCAAGAGUGCUAUAUGAUGUUAUCUGUUGUCUGUUAACAGAACUUGAUGAUUUGUCAUUUUUGUUGCAUUUUGUGUGUGCCUCCUAUGAACUUGAGCCCUACAUGUGUUUUGAAGUAUGUCAUGCCAUCUUUUUAGUGGUGCUAUCCAUGUAUUUUUGUGAGUCUUGUACUGAGUGCUUCGAGCUCGUGAAGUAGGGUACUUGAUGUUGCUGUUUUGCUAGGCUGAAUCUACUAUAUCAUGAUGCUAUUUAAACCUGCCGCUACAAGUCAUUCUAUGUUUAAUUUGGAGAUGUUCACUAAGGAUGAUUUGUUAUACAUGUCAUGCUCUAUCCAUUCAUGCCCCUGGUUGCAUUUAUAGCCUGUUGUAGCUUGUUGUUAUCGUGCUCCAAAGUUGCUAAAUAAUGUUGAUGUCAGCCUGUUAACAUUAAGUGCAGUUUUUGCCAUGUGUCCAUGCACCCUAUGACCUUGCUCUUGGCAUGCUUAGCUUCACAAACAUGUGUUCUUGUUGUUGGUUGCCUUUCCAUGCCAUGUAUUGCUCUGUGGUGAGUGGUUCAAGCUCACCAACAUGCCUACUUAUUGUUGUUCCUGCCAUGUAUGAAUCUGUCACAUCAUUUGCUAUGUUUACAUGGGUGCCAUCAUAUUUUCUUUGCCCUUUUGGCUCAUGGUCAGUAAAGGACUUUUGUUCUAUGCAAUUAGUAGGUUCAUGCCAUGCCUUUGUUUGCCAUGAUAAGUUCCUGUAGCAUGUUUUUUGAUAGCUCUAAACAUUGCAACCUGUUGUUAUUUCUGCUAAGCCUGUAAACUGUUAUUAUUUGCAAUCUUGCCAUGUGUUUUUGAGCAUGUUCUAGUAGUUUCUGGAGAUAGCUCACUGUUCAUGUUUUGACAUGCUUUACAUGUACUUCAUGCCCAUGCCUCUUGUUCUUAUGUUGAGGUGCUGUAGCGUAUUGUUUUGAUGCUUGCUAGAUGCCUAGUUGUUGUUUUGGACAGCUUGUCCUUUAAACUUGUAUAGAGUGUAUGUGUUGAACCGUUGCUCCGUUUUGAGUGUGCUCUAUAUGAAACUUGCUUAGAAGUGCAUGUAGUUUCAUAUUAUCAUGUUGCAUCCUUGUUUUGAGGUGUUUUCUUUAUGUUUGUAUGCAUUUUGCAUCAAUGCCAUGUUUAACUUGUUUUGCUCAUAUCUUCUAGGCCGUAGCUCCGACUUCAAUGAACUUUAUAUGUAACUUGACUAGAAUCUCAUGUAGAUCAUCUUGGUGCAUCUUAACUUGCUGUUUAACAACUUGAAGAUAAGGUUUAUUCAGAUCUGGACCAAUUUCUAAAUUUGCAUAUGAGGACUUACCGGAAUUGUUAUAUGUUGUUUCCGGCCUCAUUUAAACUUGCCUUGAUAUGUUGUUCUUGUAUGCAUCAUCUCUUGCCAUGAGUAGCUUCAUGUAGCCUUGUCAUGCAUCAUACUUGGUUGAGCAUCAUGCCUUGUUCAUGUGUGGUGUGUUUACCGUGUUGUGCUCCUUCUCGAUAGUUCCUGUUUCAUUGCGAUCGUGAGGAUUCGUUUGACUACACUUGGUUCAUCUUCGUGGCUUCAUCUUCUUCAUGGACUCGUUCUUAUUCCUUGCGGGAUUUCAGGCAAGAUGACCGCUACCUUGGAUCUCACUACUAUCAUUGCUUUGCUAGUUGCUUCGUUCUAUCGCUUUGCUGCGCUACCUAUCAUUUGCUCGUCAAGCCCCCCAAAUUGCCAUGUCAGCCUCUAACCUUUUCACCCUUCCUAGCAAACCGUUGCUUGGCUAUGUUACCGCUUUGUUCAGCCCCUCUUAUAGCGUUGUUAGUUGCAGGUGAAGUUGAAGGUUGCUUCAUGGUGGACAGGAUUAUGGUUGGGAUAUCACAAUAUCUCUUAUUUUAAUUAAUGCAUCUAUAUAUUUGGUAAAGGGUGGAAGACUCGGCCUUAUGCCUGGUGUUUUGUUCCACUCUUGCCGCCCUAGUUUCUGUCAUACCGGUGUUAUGUUCCCAGAUUUUGCGUUCCUUACGCAGUUGGGUGAUUUAUGGGACCCCCUUAACAGUUUGCUUUGAAUAAAACUCCUCCAGCAAGGCCCAACCUUGCUUUUACCAUUUACCUCACCUAGCCCUUUUUCUCUUGGGUUUCCGGAGCCCGAGGGUCAUCUUUANNNNNNNNNNNNNNNNNNNNNNNNNNNNNNNNNNNNNNNNNNNNNNNNNNNNNNNNNNNNNNNNNNNNNNNNNNNNNNNNNNNNNNNNNNNNNNNNNNNNNNNNNNNNNNNNNNNNNNNNNNNNNNNNNNNNNNNNNNNNNNNNNNNNNNNNNNNNNNNNNNNNNNNNNNNNNNNNNNNNNNNNNNNNNNNNNNNNNNNNNNNNNNNNNNNNNNNNNNNNNNNNNNNNNNNNNNNNNNNNNNNNNNNNNNNNNNNNNNNNNNNAGGGGCAACUCUGGGAUGUCCUACCGGAAGUUUGGACAAUCCGGUGUGCCCUGGGAACGAGAUAUGUGCAGCUCCUAUCAGGAUUUGUCGGCACAUUUGAGCGGCUUUGCUGGUCUUGUUUUACCAUUGUCGAAAUGUCUUGUAAUCCGGGAUUCCGAGUCCGAUCGGGUCUUCCUGGGAGAAGGUAUAUCCUUCGUUGAUCGCGAGAGCUUAUCAUGGGCUAAGUUGGGACACCCCUGCAGGGUAUAAAAUUUCGAAAGCCGUGCCCAUGGUUAUGUGGCAGAUGGGAAUUUGUUAAUGUCCGGUUGUAGAUAACUUGACACCAGAUACGAAUUAAAACGCAUCAACCGCGUGUGUAGCCAUGAUGGUCUCUUCUCGGCGGAGUUCGGGAACUGAACACGGUUUCUGUGUUAUGAUUGACGUAAGUAGGAGCUCAGGAUCACUUCUUGAUCAUUACUAGUUGAUGACCGUUCCUUUGCUCCUCUUCUUGCUCUCAUUUGCGUAUGUUAGCCACCAUAUCAUGCUUAGACGCUGCUGCAACCUCACCACUUUACCCCUUCCUUUCCCAUUAAGCUUUUCUAGUCUUGAUACCCAUGGUAAUAGGAUUGCCGAGUCCUCGUGGAUCACAGAUUACUACAACAACAGUUGCAGGUACAGGUUAUGCGAUGAUCUUGACGUGAGAGCGAUGUUUUCUUGUUUUGGAGUUCUUCUUCUGCUUCUUCUUUAACCAGGGGAUAGGUUCCAGGUCGGCAGCCUGGGCUAGCAGGGUGGAUGUCGUUUGAGUUUCUGUUUGUGUUUCAUCCGUAGUCGGAUGGUGCUCUUAUGUAAGAUGAUGUUGUAUUCAUGUGGCAUUGUAUGCCUUUUGUAUGUAUCCCCAUCUAUUAUGUAAUGUUGAUGUAAUGAUAUCCACCUUGCAAAAGCGUUUCAAUAUGCGGUUCUAUCCUUGGUGGGACUGUCGAGUCUCUUUAAGAUAGUAUCGCAUAUUGGGCGUGAUAGUAAGUGUAUCGGUGCUUGGUGAAAACGAAUUAUAGUCGACCUGGAUAUAUGUAGGGAGAUCAGUUCAUAUACAUGCCUGCAUGUGUUAGAAGCAAAUAAGGUCCGGAGAGGCAGACAUGGGGAGAGAGUGUGGCUAGGAGGUGGUGCGAGAGGCCUACCAUGUCGAGGGGGGAGGAGUAUGCGAGCAUGUGACUAAUUAAAAGAGGGGCGGCAGUGUGCACCUGCGUGGAAUCGUAUUGGACAUAUGGGGGCAUGGACGGUGAGAAGAGAAGAGGGGAAGUAUAUAUGUGUUUGUUGUAGGCACACUUGGAUAGAGAGAUAUAUCGACCGGUGUGUGCCAGAAAGAAGGAGCCGGGGGCCUACACACACCGCUGGUGGACGACCUAAAGAGAAAUAAUGAACGUGCGCAAUGGAGGGGACGCUAAGGGUGUGUGAGGGGGCGGGCGUGUGCAUGCAUGAUAGAAAGUUAGUGCUAGCUAGCUACAAAUAGAAGAGGAUCGUGAAGGUGUAAAAGACGAACAAAGAUCAUAAUUCAUUAUGAAAAGGUGGAUACGGAUACUUGAAGAAGAUAUCAUAAUGUACAACAUUGAUUAUAAUUUGGGCUAAUGUGUGGCUUUUGCAACUCAGGUCUAAAUACUUGUCAUAAUGUAGGGGGCGGGGCACUAUAUUUUGUGUGAUAAACACGGUGUACGUAUGGAACAUGGUUUAGAUUAUGAAUAUAAAGUUAGUACAUCAAAUAUACUAUUAUUUGGAAUCAACAUCAAGUGUAUUCAAAAAAUAGAAUUCGAGUUCAUGUAGUACACAUAGUUCAUAUCUAUCUCUAUAGUAAUCAUGUGGUGUGUUAUUAAGGUAAUACACGAAUGAUGGUUGAAGUUGGCAACAAUCAUGAUUGUAGAUUCUUAUUGAAAUAGAGAAAUGAAUUCAAAUUUAGUUCGGAUUGCAGAGGUAGUAUAGACAUUUGGAAUGCACUAAAAUGUUGGUAUGAGUAGGUUACAUGCAUUAUACAACAAAGCGAAAAAAAAUUAAUCGGACAUAACAUGGAUUCAUACUCCCUCCUUCCAUCUAUAUAGGGCAUAAUGAGAUUUUUAAGACCGCCUUUGACUAUUGACAAGAUUAAUAGUACAUGACAUGCACAAUGUGAAAAUUAUAUCAUUGAAAGAACCUUUCACAGACGAAGUUAACGGUGUGCUUUGUGUAAGUUGCAUGUCAUAUAUCAUUGCUCUAAUAUUUGGUCAAAGUUAGCAUCGAAAAACGCAUUAGGCCCUAUAUAGAUGGAAGGAGGGAGUAGCUUUGAAUAGCAUUUGUAUAGUAAAACAGGGCAAGACUCUAUCUUUGUGUGGUGUGAAUAGUUUUAUUUUUUUCGUUUUCUUUUUGGUUGAGGGAAGUGCGAAUUGAUUUGGUACGUACAAGUACAAUAUUACUACAUGUUAGGCUUGUCCCUAAAAUUCAACCCGUGUCUUGUUAUAUCCCGAAAAUUCAGAUAUUGUGCUCCCAAAACUAGCGCCUUCACAACCCGCGCCUUGCUAUCCCGAAAUUACAACGUGCGCGAAAACACCCUCCAGCUGCCAAAUCCCGACACAAGAAAUCCCCCUUCUAACCCUGAGCUGAAAGGGCCGCUAGUUCAAAUCGGUGGGGGGUACUUUUGUAACACACCCUACAUUUUGGACAAGCGCGUCCCCAAGUCAUGCUUCACCCCCUCCCAUCGCUCCCUUUUCGCCAUUCGAAAUCCCAGGCCGCCAUAACCUCUCCACUCCAGCCACGAAACCCCACCCUCCUCCGCCCGCCACGUCACCGCUGCCCAGCCGGAGCCUCUUCCCCGACGACGUCGUCCACCGCAAUAGCUCGACGUCCCUCGUCCACCUCCCCGGAUGAGGAUCCGUCGUCCAUCUCGCCGUCCCGCCGGUUCAACCGCCCCGUCCUCCACCUCCAAGGAGUUGCUCCGACGAUCGCCUCGUCUAUCAUGGCUGCUCCAUCCCCACAGCGCCGCCUUAACCUGCUCCACCGGAACCGCAACAUCCUCACCGACUCCUCGGACAAAGCCGAGGCCUACUCGGCACCACCAAAGAGGUUGUACACUCAUCGCAUCGCACCUUCUCCUUAACUCAACCUACCGGCGCCAACGGUGCUCCAUCCCGCACCCCCAUGGAGCGGCUACCUUGAAGCCGGCACCGCGGGCGACAUCUCCAUGGCGGCUCUCCCCCAGUGCGAGGCCCCUUCGGCGGCGGUGUCCAUACCAGCCGGAUCUGUUGCUGCUGCUCCGGCUCUCGCUCGCUCUCUCGCGCUGUUGCUGCUGCUCCAGCUCUCGCUCGCUCGCUCGCGCUGCUGCUGCUGCUCCGGCUCUCGCUCAGUCGCUCGCUCGCCCAGCUGCUGCUGCUGCUCUCCCCCUCGCUCGUGCUGCUGCUCUGCUCCGAUUAAGCCACACUACAGUCGACUGAAUCGACUUUUGGGUCAGUCGAUUUUUAGGGGUUGGGGGGGCUCGCCGGAGUUAAGGAAGAACCACCCGCAGCAGGCACGGAGGCUCGCCGGAGAGGUACCCCACUAUAUAUCUUAGGGUUUAGGGUGGGGGCGGGGGGGCUAGAGGGCUGGCCGGGGCGGCGGUGGCGAGUUGUUUCGGGGCGGCGAGGCGGCGCUGGGGCCGGUGGUUUGGCCGGUGGUGGCAGCGGCUCAGGGGUGUGCAGGUUGAAGAUGAACUGCAGGCCCUCCCUAAACUACAUGUCAAGUGCCUCUCUGCUACCAUUGCAUUCAGUUUCGACAGUAGCAUUCGGAUUCCACAGUAAAUUUCUGUUUCGACGGUUAAGUUCAGAGUCAACAGUUUUUACCUCAUCUGUUGUAGUCAGGUGGUUUUUGGUGAUGUUAAUUUUACAUCCAUUUUUCAUCAUCUAUUGGAGAUGCUAUUAGAAUCCCACUUGAGAUUGACGAUGUCUGUCUUGUGCUGCUUCAGCCUUGACGUCUUACGGCUCACCGGAGCUGCUCCAACGACAGAACGAUCCAUCACAACAGAGCAGUGCCCUGGACGCCGUCUAUAGAUUCCUCAGAUCUUCCUCCACACCUUCGACAACCACCUCUACCUCAACUGCUUCAGCGACCAACCCAAUGAUGCUGAGGUCGACACGGCUAUGGCAAACAGGUUGUACACUUGUUGCAUCACUUAUUACUAUACAUUCACGUCGAUCCAUUAGGGCUAUUUUGGUUCAACGGAAAAACAUAGUAAUAGGGAAUUUUCCAAUGGCACUCUACUAUUCAAUAAUUCAUUCAUUUUGUUGAAAGGAAUGAAGCAAAACAUCCACCUGGACCUACUUUUCAAAAUCCUAUGCAUGAAAACAAGACCAAGUGCAUUAGUGCCAGAAUAACAUUCUAACUGUACACGCUUUCAUAUGGUUUCUCUUUAUUUUGGCCAUGUUUCUUUGCAUUCCUCUGCUCUUCCAAUUCUUGUAAAGCAAUCAUCAUCUGUCUUUUUAUUAAUUUAAAGCAAUCAUCAUCCUGCUAUCAUUAUUUUUGGAUCCAUCCACUGGUUGUUACCAUCACUCUAAAUUUCUGCAUUCUCUCCUUACAUAAUAUCACCAUAUUUUUUGGUAUGCAUGUCAGAUAUUGUACACAGUCAUGCUGAACAAGUAGAGAAAAAGAGAAGAGUUUUGCGCGGCAAUACAAUGUCAUGCAGACAUCGCUCCAUGGUGGGUUCAAUGGCAAACCCUCCCCACUCCUCUCCAGAUUGUAAUCCAGAGGAAGAUAUCUGUUCUGAGGCAGAUUUAGACGCCGCUGACCACUCCUAUUUACCCCCCAAGGUGUUUGCUCUACCUUGGCAUGAUGAUGUUAGUCAUAUCAUGCAUAUGUUGCCUUGCAGUGCCUACUUUUGACAUCAUAUAUGUCAUCUGCUUAGUUUAGACAUGUUCUGUAAUGCCACCUGUUUAGUUUCUAUAUCAUAUAUGGGAAUUAUGCAGUCUCAUGUCUUUUAGCCAUCCAUAAUAUAUGUGAAAUGUGCAAUGCCAUCCUGUUUAACCAGGCAUCAUAUAUUUGAAUGAUAUCUUGCCCAUCCUUUUCUUCAUUACAUUUCCAUUUGUCGAUAAUUUUUGUACAUUAAACUACUCUUCCUGUGAAUCAGCCAUUUGGGUGGGAGAUGGAAAAAUCUGGAGUGAAAACAAGGCCUUCAGAGCAGACAGUGCUACCUAUGGAAGCAGAUCUCUUGUUGGGUCCCGAUAGCUCCUCAGAGAUGGAUUUAGAGACAGAUGACCAGUCUUAUUCCCCUACUGAGGUGUAUGCUCUAACUUGGGACGGUUAUACUGCUCAUAUCAUGCAUAUGGUGUCUUGCAUUGCAUAGUUUAGACAUCAUAUACACAAUAUUGAACACCAUGUUCUUAGUUCACACAUCAUAUCGAAUGCCCUCUGUUUAGCAUAUAAAUCACAUAUGUGAAUUAAAUGAUGUGAUCCUGAUUACUUAGAUAACAUGUAGGUGAAUUAUGUGAUGCGAUCUUGUUUUGUUAUUCAUCAUAUCUUUGAAUUAUGUUAUGCUAUGCUGUCCAGUUUAGAUAGACAUCAUAUAUGUGAAAUUAUGUCAUGCUAUCCGUUUUAGUUAAAAAAAUAUACAUGUCAACUAUUUCAUGCCCUCUUUUUUCCACACUAUCUAUUGCAUCUAUCUCUCAUACAAUGUCUGUACAUUCAACUAUGUUUCCUGUUUAUCAACCAUUUGAAUUGGAGCGGGUGAUGCCAGUAUCUAGCGGAAUAAAAACACGGUCUUCAAAUAAAACAGUGCUUCCUAUUGGUGGAGAUAGCACCCCGGUUGUACAUGCACAAGAACCAGCCCUACCACACAUAACCCAAACUCUCACAGAUUGUACGCCUACUGCGAUGGACAGAGAACCAGCUUCACCCAAUCUAACCCCAACCCCAGCCGAUAGUAACCCAGUUCCUGUUGACACAGCAUCAUCUCCGCCACAGAGCUCCCAAACAAGAGCAGUUAGUAAGGUAGCUCCAGUGCCCAAAGGGCCAGUACUAUCACGGCGAACCCCAGCUCCACCAAUUAGUACGCCUAUUCCCGUGGAGGAAGCACAACCAGCUAGUCGUACUUUAGCAUCUAUCGCAUUUGAUGUUGUUAAAUCGUAUGUGCGUAUCUUCCCAUCUUGGAAAUAUUAUACUGAAGAUGAAGGAAAAUGCCAGUUGCAGGUGUUUGUCCAGGAGUUAUGUGUAAGUAAUGUUAUUCAUGGCAAUUACUUUGCUUCGUCCCAUACAUCCUACCUCCAUGAUGGUUAUAAUACAACAAAUUUUCCCAUUUUUCUCUAUAGAGAAGGACCGAUUUGGAAACUCAGGAUGAGGUAACCUGUGCUAAUACCUCUGCUAUCUUCAAGAAUGCUUGGUGGCAAUAUCAGAAUUACCUGAAGAAAAUGUACUUCAACGGCAAAGAAACUCAUCAAAUUCCCUUACGUUCUCCUGAGACACAUUUACUGGACGAUGACUGGGAACGCCUUGUUCUGUACUGGUCCCGAACCAAGAAUGUGGUAAGGUCUAUGAGCUCAUUUUCUAUUUUUAAGUAUUAUAUUCUUGUGUUUUACUGUACUCUGUUCAUGUAGAACAAGUGCCUAAACCUAAAGAAUAACUGUUCUAGUUUAAGAUUCCAUUGCUAUCAUAGUUCAAAAAAGCGCUAGGCAUUAAUUGUGCAUUUUUCCACCGCCUUGCACUUUACUGACCAAAGCGCAUGCUUAUGCGCAGUUAUGCACAGAUUAAGCAUAGUUAUGUGCAAUGCGUUUUGCCAACGCCUAGAGCCUAGGCGCGCUUAAGCGCUCGCUUAGGCGCGCCUUUUUUUUAACUAUGAUUGCUUUGCUCUUGUAUCAUUGUAUUUACUCAUACAAACUUAUUUUUGAAUUGAAGGAUCCAAUCGAAACUCCAAUGGCACGGCAGGUAUGUUCACGCAUGUUUCUUUAACAGGUUUGCUCUUAUCAAUAGCUCUUUUGAUUUCACUUUCAAUUGUGUAUACAGUUGACUUUCAUAUCAUGCACAUUACUAGCAUCACAACAGAGCCAAUAGUGUUGUUGUACAUGUAGACCCAUGGUACCCAUCUGAAAUCUUGUUGUGCCGUGUAGUUUCCCACGCUUUGUAUUCUUUCACUGCUGCUUUGUCUUGAAAUGAUAUGAUUUGAACCGUUUCUCUAUUUUGAUUUGGCAAGACAAUGCAGUGACCAUAGGACAUAGAUAUAUGUUUGUUUGAUGCUUUUAUUAUGUACUAGUACUUGGCAAUAGAAGACUUGGUAGUUUAAUCAUGUCCACCUUACUAAUGAACUGGUUCACCGAAAUGAGUUUCAUAUACUAGUACAUGCUAAACUUGUUAUGUGUCUGCUUGUUUCUUCUUUUAGAAUGCUGACAGAAUAUUGGGGAAGAGUGCCUUAUUAAGCAGUGGUAAAGGAAGUAAUGCAGAUAAGGUUCAGGAUAGUGACACAUCCUUGUUGGUCUCCAACAAAGCUGAUAAAACAGCUAAGAAAGACUAUCUUGAAGACAGCGAGACAACCCCAAAGUCCUGUCUUGGUUUAGUGUUCGAGUUACUGGCCACUACCGCUUGCACAAGCUAUUCAAACUCACUGUCUGAAUCAGUUCAGUUUCUUGAGUCUCAACUACAAGCUGAAAGACAUCGAUCAGCUGUGCUGCGACAAGAAGCGGAAGGACUGCGGAAGUCCCUGGAGCAUUCAGAUGCAUACUUUCUGGUGCAACAGCAAGCGUUGGAGGAUUUUAGCGCCAAACAGGACAAAGCUAAUCAGCUUGCUAAGCUUAUUGCCAGCAUGGUGGAUACCCAGGAUAACGUUUCUUGAGCUCUUCUGAAGUUGUUUCAGUUAUGCUCUUGUUUUGCUGCCGCGUUUAUUUGCACUGGUGGCCAAUUUUGACGGCCAAGUGUAUGUAAUAUGCUGCUUUGUUCCCUAUAUUUGCACUGGUGGCGAACUUUGAUGCCCAGUGGAUGUAAUGUGUGUAAUAGCGGUAAUAGGCUAGCCUUAAUUGCUUGCUUAUUUAUUUCCUUAUUGUCUUGUUUAGUUGUUUGCUUGUAGUCACUGCAGUUCUUUUUCUGUGUUUUUCUAGUGGCCACAAUAGCCUAUUUUUGGUAACUAGGCCAAAAUAAUCAUGGCAACACACGGACUGUUGUAACCAUGGGCCUCUUGCAGGCCGUAUGAUCCAUGGGCCUUCGUUCGGCCGUAGGAGCAUUGGCCUUCUAUACGGGCCAUAGGAUCCAUCGGCCUUCUAUACGGGCCUUAGGGAUCAAUAGGCCUUCUAUGGGUUGUAGGGUCCAUGGGCCUUCUACAGGCCGUACUAUCCAUGGGCCUCAUACGGGCUGUAGGAUCCAUGGGCCUUCUACGAGGCGUAUCAUCAUUUCGCCAAUCAUGGGUCAUACUAUUCGUGGACCAUAACGGAUCGUUAAUAGGCCGUAUUUGAUAACUCUAUGAAAACAGCCCAACGGGUUUUUUUGACAUGAAAACGGCCCAACAUAUUAACGGUCCGCAAACGGGCCGACUGUAACGACGGGCUGAAUUUGGCCCACAAGCAGAAAAUGACAUUAACGGGCCGUAUGUAACCGAAUGCUGCAAAUGAGCCCAAGAAUCAAUGGGCCCUGAGAAGGCCGAAAGAUAACUUGGGCUGGAAAUAGCCCAAUGGAAUAACGGGCCGUUAAUGGGUAUAAAGUGAUACAUUGUUCAUUACGGGCCAGUUUCACCACGGGCCGUUAAUGGGCCAAGAGUUACAAAGGUCCUCAUAUGGGCCGAAAGAAGUCAUGGGCCACACAUGGUCCGGAAGUUAAAAGGGGCUGAAUCAUAUUGGACGGCCCAGAUGACGCUACUGGGCCUAAUUCGGAUAGGGCGUAACGGGCCCUGGGUUAGCGGGCUGUAAAUGGGCUAUAUGCAAACAGGUCGUUAACAGGCUUUCCGUGGGCCGACCCGCCAUCUUUUGACCAAGUUAAACGGGCCGGCCUUUUCACAGAAAUGGGCCUUUGUUGGGCCGUGCCACGUGUCGCCGUAUCAUAGGCGCCUUCGGUCCAAUGAGCGGAUGACAUCUGUCCCAACGGUGAGCCGACACGUGUUUCCUCCAGCCAAUGAUGAUUUUACACGUGGAAAAUCCCCAUUGGUCGGGGCUGUUAACGGGUUAUCGGAUCCAUAACCCGACCCGAUAGCUUAACGGCGUUCCAUUAUGGUGGAUGCCACGUGUCGGUCACCCUUGACGAAAGCAGUUCUGUGACGCGUGGUUUAUCGUCAUGGAAGUGGACACUUCCGUGAUGAUAAUUUUGGUAAUGUCAUGGAACACUUCUACGACAGCACAUGUAUGACUAUCUAGAUUCUGUCAUAAAUUUGUCAUGGAUGUACAUGCAUGACAAAAAAUGCGACCUACUAUGACAAACAUGUAUCAUCACGGAAGUGUAUUUUUUUAGUGCAAGCAUCAUUUUUGCAGACCAGGUAAACAUGACUUUUGCUUCUUUUUGCACAAACUACUUUUCGCAAAAGGAGAAAUUUUAUGCAAGGGUAGUGCCACUAGUACAUAUAUGUAGGAAUAAACUCACUUUUUAAGAGCGCUACCUACUAGCAUGUGUGUGUGUGAUUUAAUCAUUCAAUGACGAUGGACAACAUCCUGAAUGCCUGAUAUUGUUUUUUAUGCGACAGAAGUCCAUCUUUAACAAAUGUGAGUGGCUUGUGGUUGAUACACGGUGCAAAAUUCUUUUCCUUAUGUACUGUGAUUUCCAUUUUGUCGCUCACACUAGCCGGGUUUGUAGAAGUAAUUCCAUGUGUUAUUAUGCAAGGGAAAAGACAUAAUCUUCAUAGAUCAUUUUUUGUUUGGAGGAAAUGGAAGCAUGAUUAACUAAUAUUUUGACUUUUCUUGGCAGAGUAAAUAUAGUGGAACUAAGACAAUUUAACUAGAUGAACUGAGACAAUUUUAACAAGUUGAAAUGAUACAGUCAAACUGAUUAUUAGCACAUCUAGGUAUAUAUACAGGCAAAUGGAGAUGGUGUAAAAAUAAAAUGCAAAAAUGGAGAAAAAUGUCUAGAUGUAAACUAUUGCAGGCCCCAAAAUCCAACCAGCGGUAGCAAAAUUAACCUUUCAUGAUACAGACUAGAUUAUGCUUCACCCACGUGAAUGGUGAUAUAAGAUAAAGCACUGAAGAUCUCCUACAUACGCACUCCUCCUUAAACUGAACUGGCUAAACAAAACACCAAUUCUCCCCCUGCCAAGACCACUAAUCUCCCUCGGAAUUCAGCAAGCAGCAGCAUCGAGACAAGCCUUGAAAGCAAGCAGCCUCUCGCCAGCAAGACCGCUAGCGGAAUUUCAACGACAGACAAGAAAGAAAUGCUAAGCUGCAUAGAGACGGUCGGAUUGGGCAGACUGGGUGCGGUGCACGUACCUGAGGAAUGGAAGGGAAGUAGGGAGCAGGGGUGAAUGGCCGAGGGUGACAGUGGUGAACUGCCCGGGGUAGUGGUGGUGAACGGUCUGUGCUGGAUGUUGUCCUCCUCGGGGCAGAAGUGGCUAAGGAGGAGGCCAACCUGUAAGCACGGGAAGGAGGCGAUGCAGUAGCACCACUACAUCCACAGCACCGUCGAGGUGAGCACCGAGCCCUGGAGAGAUGAAAUG
This 33479-nucleotide long non-coding RNA is filed under the name Triticum aestivum (bread wheat). RNAcentral describes it as "long non-coding RNA (TAES_LNC022317)". The record is from RNAcentral. Lineage: Eukaryota; Viridiplantae; Streptophyta; Magnoliopsida; Poales; Poaceae.